Molecule: long non-coding RNA, 1394 nt
Filed under: Danio rerio (zebrafish)
Lineage: Eukaryota; Metazoa; Chordata; Actinopteri; Cypriniformes; Danionidae
Description: lncRNA (ENSDARG00000117752.1)
Source: RNAcentral
GGGCUGCUAAUUUUUAGACUUUAUUUUUAGAAUCUAUUUUGUUAGAUUUGGAAGACGUGACAAGACACACACAGUAGGUUUCUUUUCUUUUCUUUUUUUUUUUGAAGCAGAUUUAGUCUUAUUAAAGCAAAAAUAUUUUCUGUAUAAUCAUUUUUAUUUAAUUUUUUUGCCAUUUUGAUAGUAGAAAGAUGGAUGUAAAUCAGGGAUGCCCAAACCUGGUCCUGGAGGGCCAGUGUCCUGCAGAUUUUAGCUCCAGCCUGCCUCAACACACCUGCAUGGAUCUUUCUAGAAUACUCAGUAAGAGUUUGAUUAGCUAGGCGUGUGAGUUUGGAACUAAACUUUGGAGGACACUGACCCCCCAGGACCGAGUUUGGGCACCCCUGAUCUAUAUGUACACAAAUUUAUGAAAUGACCAUAUUAACUAAAAGAUUAGUCUAAUUAUUGAUUUUUUUAUUAUUUGUUUUUGAUUUGUAAAUAAUCCCUGUGUUUUUCUUCUAUUCCAGAAGUUUUAAGCCAUAAAUUCCCAUCAGUGCCAAUCAAGUGAACAGCAAGGAGAGAUUAUUUGUUUUAAAUGUAUUAAAUAUCUGCAUAUUUGUAUGUCAGCAUAUGUUUGAAUGAUAUGUAUACAGAUACAAUUGCAAAUAAACGUCCUUUGUUCCAGUUUCCUGUUCUCACAGCUAGCAUUUACCAUGACAAAAGUGUGGGUCUCAAACUGAAUCUGUCGUAAAACAAUGCCAUACAUUGUUAAAGGGAAGAACUGUGUUAGAGAAUGGUUACUUUGAAUUUUGUUCUGUUUAAUUUCUUCCCAGUUUGUGCAUUACCAUUCAGAAGGGGAGUUAUUUUUCCUCUGGUGUUGAUUGGUAAUAGACAUGGCGCUUUGGUGUCCAUCGGCUUUUCUUUUUUUAAUUACAUUAUCUUGUAUGUCAUUUGUGAUUGCAGAGAAAAGAUUAUUAUGCUCAUCAGAGCACAUUAGUUUUUGGUACACCUUUGAUGGUCCAUUGUAUUACCUGUCAAUGACCAUUUCCCCCUGCUCUCAAGGAGUGUCCAUGUACACUGUAAAUUAUACACUAAUCCCAAUGUUCACAAUCACCCGUUUUGGAUUUCAUGGUAUCGUUUAUUACAAAGGUCAGAUGUGGUUGGAGCAUGACCAGCAAGAAGUUCUUUGUGAGGAUUACAAAAUAUGUUACAUCAUUAAAGGAGAAACACUGAAUGAGACCUUUCCACUUUAUAUAACAAAAUUUGAUGGCCCUGUGGGUGAUUAUCAGUUUUUUAUUACAUUGUACAUCACUGAUGACCUAGACAACAAAAUAUCUUUAAAAUUCAACAUCACAAUGGAAAUAAAAAGUGAUGGCAAUAAGAACAACCCUUUUUUCCCUCAACUCGGAGGAUUGUAG